Molecule: long non-coding RNA, 977 nt
Organism: Ictalurus punctatus (channel catfish)
Lineage: Eukaryota; Metazoa; Chordata; Actinopteri; Siluriformes; Ictaluridae
Source: Ensembl
GUAAAACUUACAACAGCAAUAAUUGUUUACCAGAAGGUGUUAAUCCUACAAAUCCGGCAUCUAAUCAUCAGCAGUUUUUAAUAAGCUUACUGGCUAUUUUAAACAUUUUCUGGCUAUUUUAAACAUUUUCUUUAAAAAAAUAUAUAUAUCAAAUACAUUGAGCAUGUGUAAAAGUUUGAAUAAGACUCUCAUACACACAUAAAAAAAUAAUCUGAUCCAUUUUCUGUUCACACUUUAAACCCAGGAUUGACUUUCCCAGUAUUUUCCCAGCACACGUGCACAACCCCAUCAUCAUCAACUGCAGAGAAAACAAGUGUAUAAAGCAAGUGUAGAGUGCGUGUGCGUACCUUUUUUUGCUCCAGUAAGGGCAGAGAGUCUAUGAGCAGAGUCAUCCAGAAGCUGUGUGGAGAGAUCUUUGCUGUCAUGAGGGAGAGCAGGAGCUUCACCGCCUCUGUGAACUUCUUCUCUUCAUACACUCAUGGUACUUUAUUGUCAAAUGACAAAGCGCGGUGAUGCACAGUGGGAGCGUGAGUAAGAUCUGUAAUAUCAGUGUACAGUGUGAAUUUGUGUACAGUAUAUAACAUAGAAUGUCCCUCAUAGCUAUCUUCCCGAGCGGGAAUGGCACCAGCAGUUGGAAGAAAAAUGGAAGAACACACUUAACUGACAAGUCCUUUGCUCUGUUGCGGGAUGAAGCGUGGAGAAAACUGGGUAACGGCGGACGGCAGAGAUAAAGGAGGUGGAUAACGCUUAGUACGUGAGGUAACCACGAAGGGAGUCAGAAUGGUAGCUACUCACAUAGAGCCUGAUGAGACCAGAUAACAAGUAUGUGAUAUCAGUGUGCUUAUGAAUAGUUCAUGAUUAGGGUGAUACAGGUGUGGCAGGUUAGUACUCAGGUGAUUGUGAACAGGUAAGUGGAGCUGAAGGACCUGGUGUUGACGGUAUGCUGGAUGAAUCUGUGACAGAACACCCCCCCCCCC